RNAcentral lists this non-coding RNA (24 nucleotides) under Cricetulus griseus (Chinese hamster). Lineage: Eukaryota; Metazoa; Chordata; Mammalia; Rodentia; Cricetidae. The record is from RNAcentral.
UUAAGGAGAAUAGCUGGAGAUGGG